Molecule: ribosomal RNA, 253 nt
Filed under: uncultured bacterium
Lineage: Bacteria
Description: partial 16S ribosomal RNA
Rfam family: Bacterial small subunit ribosomal RNA
Source: RNAcentral
UGCGUAGGGUGCAAGCGUUAAUCGGAAUUACUGGGCGUAAAGCGUGCGCAGGCGGUUGUGCAAGACAGAUGUGAAAUCCCCGGGCUCAACCUGGGAACUGCAUUUGUGACUGCACAGCUUGAGUGCGGCAGAGGGGGAUGGAAUUCCGCGUGUAGCAGUGAAAUGCGUAGAUAUGCGGAGGAACACCGAUGGCGAAGGCAAUCCCCUGGGCCUGCACUGACGCUCAUGCACGAAAGCGUGGGGAGCAAACAGG